Molecule: ribosomal RNA, 301 nt
Filed under: uncultured bacterium
Lineage: Bacteria
Description: partial 16S ribosomal RNA
Rfam family: Bacterial small subunit ribosomal RNA
Source: RNAcentral
CAGCAGCCACGGUAAUACGGAGGGUGCAAGCGUUAAUCGGAAUUACUGGGCGUAAAGCGCACGCAGGCGGUCUGACAAGUCAGAUGUGAAAUCCCCGGGCUUAACCUGGGAACUGCAUUUGAAACUGUCAGGCUGGAGUCUUGUAGAGGGGGGUAGAAUUCCAGGUGUAGCGGUGAAAUGCGUAGAGAUCUGGAGGAAUACCGGUGGCGAAGGCGGCCCCCUGGACAAAGACUGACGCUCAGGUGCGAAAGCGUGGGGAGCAAACAGGAUUAGAUACCCCGGUAGUCCCUGUCUCUUAUAA